RNAcentral lists this ribosomal RNA (577 nucleotides) under uncultured bacterium. RNAcentral's name for it is "bacterial SSU rRNA". It matches the Rfam family "Bacterial small subunit ribosomal RNA", at positions 35 to 610 of the family's 1533-position model. The record is from RNAcentral.
GCUGGCGGCGUGCUUAACACAUGCAAGUCGAACGAAGCACUUUAUUUGAUUUCCUUUGGGACUGAUUAUUUUGUGACUGAGUGGCGGACGGGUGAGUAACGCGUGGGUAACCUGCCUUGUACAGGGGGAUAACAGUUGGAAACGGCUGCUAAUACCGCGUAAGCGCACAGUAUCGCAUGAUGCAGUGUGAAAAACUCCGGUGGUAUAAGAUGGACCCGCGUUGGAUUAGCUAGUUGGUGAGGUAACGGCCCACCAAGGCGACGAUCCAUAGCCGACCUGAGAGGGUGACCGGCCACAUUGGGACUGAGACACGGCCCAAACUCCUACGGGAGGCAGCAGUGGGGAAUAUUGCACAAUGGGCGAAAGCCUGAUGCAGCGACGCCGCGUGAGCGAAGAAGUAUUUCGGUAUGUAAAGCUCUAUCAGCAGGGAAGAUAAUGACGGUACCUGACUAAGAAGCACCGGCUAAAUACGUGCCAGCAGCCGCGGUAAUACGUAUGGUGCAAGCGUUAUCCGGAUUUACUGGGUGUAAAGGGAGCGCAGGCGGUGCGGCAAGUCUGAUGUGAAAGCCCGGGGCUC